UGUAAUUUUGGACUUUGAGGACCUCCCUGCAAUUUUGUAAAAUAUGGGACUGGACUGCAAUUUUAAAAAUAGAACUAAAAAAACAUAAAGAUUGGACAGUUUGGACUUAAAUGCAAUUUUAAAAAGUUGAAGGAUUAAAAUGCAAAGUAAAAAUAAAAAUGAAUUAAAAUAUGUAAUUUGACUAAACGUAAAGCGAAACAAAAAUAAAACUGACAAAACGGACUAAAACGAACCAAUGGCCUAAAUGAGGUACUUCAAAGUAACCUCUCUAUGCCGAAAUUUCGUGUGAAAUGACCAAAA
Molecule: long non-coding RNA, 300 nt
Filed under: Medicago truncatula (barrel medic)
Lineage: Eukaryota; Viridiplantae; Streptophyta; Magnoliopsida; Fabales; Fabaceae
Description: long non-coding RNA (MTRU_LNC005578)
Source: RNAcentral